This 400-nucleotide ribosomal RNA is filed under the name uncultured bacterium. RNAcentral's name for it is "bacterial SSU rRNA". It matches the Rfam family "Bacterial small subunit ribosomal RNA", at positions 355 to 768 of the family's 1533-position model. The record is from RNAcentral.
UCGAGAAUCUUCCGCAAUGGGCGAAAGCCUGACGGAGCGACGCCGCGUGGUGGAUGAAGUACUUCGGUACGUAAACACCUUUUAUGAGGGAGGAAGUUUAUUGACGUUACCUCAUGAAUAAGGGGCUCCCAACUCUGUGCCAGCAGGAGCGGUAAUACAGAGGCCCCAAGCAUUAUCCGGAUUUACUGGGCGUAAAGGGUGCGUAGGCGGUGUGAUUAGUCAGUUGUUAAAUCCCGGGGCUCAACCCCGGAACCGCAAUUGAAACGGUCACACUAGAAUUGAUCAGAGGCAAGCAGAACUCUCGGUGUAGGGGUGAAAUCCGUUGAUAUCGAGGGGAAUACCAAAUGCGAAGGCAGCUUGCUGGGAUUAUAUUGACGCUGAGGCACGAAAGCGUGGGGAU